GUGAACCUGCGGAGGGAUCAUUACACAAAUAUGAAGGCGGGCUGGAACCUCUCGGGGUUACAGCCUUGCUCUGAAUUAUUCACCCUUGUCUUUUGCGUACCUCUUGCUUCCUUGGUGGGUUCGCCCACCACUAGGACAAACAUAAACCUUUUGUAAUUGCAAUCAGCGUCAGUAACAAUGUAAUAAUUACAACUUUCAACAACGGAUCUCUUGGUUCUGGCAUCGAUGAAGAACGCAGCGAAAUGCGAUAAGUAGUGUGAAUUGCAGAAUUCAGUGAAUCAUCGAAUCUUUGAACGCACAUUGCGCCCUUUGGUAUUCCAAAGGGCAUGCCUGUUCGAGCGUCAUUUGUACCCUCAAGCUUUGCUUGGUGUUGGGCGUCUUGUCUCUAGCUUUGCUGGAGACUCGCCUUAAAGUAAUUGGCAGCCGGCCUACUGGUUUCGGAGCGCAGCACAAGUCGCACUCUCUAUCAGCAAAGGUCUAGCAUCCAUUAAGCCUUUUUUUCAACUUUUGACCUCGGAUCAGGUAGGGAUACCCGCUGAACUUAA
RNAcentral lists this ribosomal RNA (545 nucleotides) under Alternaria sp. C46. RNAcentral describes it as "eukaryotic LSU rRNA". The stretch from base 191 to 344 matches the Rfam family "5.8S ribosomal RNA". Lineage: Eukaryota; Fungi; Ascomycota; Dothideomycetes; Pleosporales; Pleosporaceae. The record is from RNAcentral.